AGUGAACGCUGGCGGUAGGCCUAACACAUGCAAGUCGAACGGCAGCACAGUAAGAGCUUGCUCUUACGGGUGGCGAGUGGCGGACGGGUGAGGAAUACAUCGGAAUCUACUUUUUCGUGGGGGAUAACGUAGGGAAACUUACGCUAAUACCGCAUACGACCUACGGGUGAAAGCAGGGGAUCCUCGGACCUUGCGCGAUUGAAUGAGCCGAUGUCGGAUUAGCUAGUUGGCGGGGUAAAGGCCCACCAAGGCGACGAUCCGUAGCUGGUCUGAGAGGAUGAUCAGCCGCACUGGAACUGAGACACGGUCCAGACUCCUACGGGAGGCAGCAGUGGGGAAUAUUGGACAAUGGGCGCAAGCCUGAUCCAGCCAUACCGCGUGGGUGAAGAAGGCCUUCGGGUUGUAAAGCCCUUUUGUUGGGAAAGAAAAGCAGCAGGUUAAUACCCCGCUGUUCUGACGGUACCCAAAGAAUAAGCACCGGCUAACUUCGUG
RNAcentral lists this ribosomal RNA (492 nucleotides) under uncultured bacterium. Its description in RNAcentral is "partial 16S ribosomal RNA". It matches the Rfam family "Bacterial small subunit ribosomal RNA", at positions 29 to 507 of the family's 1533-position model. The record is from RNAcentral.